This 497-nucleotide ribosomal RNA is filed under the name uncultured bacterium. Its description in RNAcentral is "partial 16S ribosomal RNA". It matches the Rfam family "Bacterial small subunit ribosomal RNA", at positions 28 to 507 of the family's 1533-position model. The record is from RNAcentral.
GAUGAACGCUGGCGGCGUGCCUAAUACAUGCAAGUCGAGCGAACAGGCGAGGAGCUUGCUCCUCUGACGUUAGCGGCGGACGGGUGAGUAACACGUGGAUAACCUACCUAUAAGACUGGGAUAACUUCUGGAAACCGGAGCUAAUACCGGAUAAUAUAUUGAACCGCAUGGUUCAAUAGUGAAAGACGGUUUUGCUUUCACUUAUAGAUGGAUCCGCGCCGCAUUAGCUAGUUGGUAAGGUAACGGCUUACCAAGGCGACGAUUCGUAGCCGACCUGAGAGGGUGAUCGGCCACACUGGAACUGAGACACGGUCCAGACUCCUACGGGAGGCAGCAGUAGGGAAUCUUCCGCAAUGGGCGAAAGCCUGACGGAGCAACGCCGCGUGAGUGAUGAAGGUCUUCGGAUCGUAAAACUCUGUUAUUAGGGAAGAACAAAUGUGUAAGUAACUAUGCACGUCUUGACGGUACCUAAUCAGAAAGCCACGGCUAACUACGUG